This 572-nucleotide ribosomal RNA is filed under the name Salmonella enterica. RNAcentral describes it as "bacterial LSU rRNA". It matches the Rfam family "Bacterial large subunit ribosomal RNA", at positions 176 to 687 of the family's 2925-position model. Lineage: Bacteria; Pseudomonadati; Pseudomonadota; Gammaproteobacteria; Enterobacterales; Enterobacteriaceae. The record is from RNAcentral.
GAGGCGAACCGGGGGAACUGAAACAUCUAAGUACCCCGAGGAAAAGAAAUCAACCGAGAUUCCCCCAGUAGCGGCGAGCGAACGGGGAGGAGCCCAGAGCCUGAAUCAGCAUGUGUGUUAGUGAAAGCGUCUGGAAAGGCGCGCGAUACAGGGUGACAGCCCCGUACACAAAAGCGCAUGUGCUGUGAGCUCGAUGAGUAGGGCGGGACACGUGGUAUCCUGUCUGAAUAUGGGGGGACCAUCCUCCAAGGCUAAAUACUCCUGACUGACCGAUAGUGAACCAGUACCGUGAGGGAAAGGCGAAAAGAACCCCGGCGAGGGGAGUGAAAAAGAACCUGAAACCGUGUACGUACAAGCAGUGGGAGCCCCACCACCAAAGCAUUCUCUGGUGUUGAAGGCCCUGCAAAGCAGCAUCGCGGUGGCGGAGCGUCGUUUGCGACGCCCAACACACAAAACAAGCGGUGAAUGCUUUGGGGUGGGGUGACUGCGUACCUUUUGUAUAAUGGGUCAGCGACUUAUAUUCUGUAGCAAGGUUAACCGAAUAGGGGAGCCGGAGGGAAACCGAGUCUUAA